This 958-nucleotide long non-coding RNA is filed under the name Equus caballus (horse). RNAcentral describes it as "lncRNA (ENSECAG00000052029.1)". Lineage: Eukaryota; Metazoa; Chordata; Mammalia; Perissodactyla; Equidae. The record is from RNAcentral.
GUGACCUUGCAGCCUGGGAGGGACUAGAGAGAGUAGGAAAAGCCCCAGGCGGCAGAAGAAUCAAAUCUCAAGAUACUUGAGGUGGUCACUCCAUCAGCAGUGUAGGCCUCGUGAUGGGGCCCAGGCUGCCGCGAGGCGGGGUCGGAAGCGGCCUGGCCUGAGGACCUGGCUCUGGGCAGCCUGGCAGGGGAGGGGUCCCGCUGGGAAAGGGGGCGACCGCCACAGGACUGUUACUUUAGGAGCAGUGAAGACCUCAUUUCCAACCACGGCCCAUUACAAAGGGGAGAAAGGGUGGAAGCAAAUGUCCCCUGGCAGAAUUCUCCUGUGGCCUCGUACCCAGCUCCGAAGUGCCCGGCUUCUCUCUUUCCAUGUGUGGCCUGUGUAAAUGCCUCCUGAGCUGCCAUUCCUGGAUUUGAGCCUGACUCUGCCACUUACUCGCAGUGUGCCCAUAGAUCUUCAUCCAUAUCCGCCCACUGACUGUUUAUGAUUCCAAGUAGCUGUGGUUCAGGAUGGAACAGACUUCACCAGGAUGAUCAAAUGAAGCCCUACCAUCAGCAUCCACCCAAGAGCAUGUCUGCUAGCGUGUAGACCGUGUGCUGGGAACUAUGUGUGUAUGCAGCGGGGUUCAGCUCACAGGGCUCCCUCACCCCUUCUUAGGAAACUCCCAAAUAAGGCACUUUCCCUCUUAUGUCUGGAGUGAGAGGGUUGGAGCGGGGCAGAGAGGAGAGGGCACUUAUCCCACAGCCACUUGUGAGCAUAUCACGGUUUACUCAACCCAUAUCUUUUCAUUCAGCAGCCAGUGCACUCAGGCAGUAUACCCAGACUGCCUGUGCCAAGUUGUGUUGACAGCACAUGGGAGAAUAAAAAGAAACAGAAGACAAUGGUUCCUCCUAUGGGGGGGUGCAUGUGGUAACACAUGGAGAGGGGACUUGAGCUUGCAAAGCCACCAGACAUCAAC